CACGGGGGGAGCAAGCGUUGUUCGGAUUCAUUGGGCGUAAAGGGCUCGUAGGUGGCUUUGUAAGUCGGAGGUGAAAUCCCACGGCUCAACCGUGGACACGCCUUCGAAACUAUGAAGCUUGAGGCUGGGAGAGGAGAUCGGAAUUCCUGGUGUAGCGGUGAAAUGCGUAGAUAUCAGGAGGAACACCGGUGGCGAAGGCGGAUCUCUGGACCAGUUCUGACACUGAUGAGCGAAAGCCAGGGGAGCAAACAGG
Molecule: ribosomal RNA, 253 nt
Filed under: uncultured bacterium
Lineage: Bacteria
Description: partial 16S ribosomal RNA
Rfam family: Bacterial small subunit ribosomal RNA
Source: RNAcentral